This 301-nucleotide ribosomal RNA is filed under the name uncultured bacterium. RNAcentral's name for it is "partial 16S ribosomal RNA". It matches the Rfam family "Bacterial small subunit ribosomal RNA", at positions 509 to 809 of the family's 1533-position model. The record is from RNAcentral.
CAGCAGCCGCGGUAAUACGGAGGGUGCAAGCGUUGUCCGGAUUUAUUGGGUUUAAAGGGUGCGUAGGCGGCCUAAUAAGUCAGUGGUGAAAGCCUCCAGCUUAACUGGAGAACUGCCAUUGAUACUGUUAGGCUUGAGUAUACUUGAGGUAGGCGGAAUUGACAGUGUAGCGGUGAAAUGCAUAGAUAUUGUCAAGAACACCAAUUGCGAAGGCAGCUUACUAAAUUAUAACUGACGCUGAGGCACGAAAGUGUGGGUAUCAAACAGGAUUAGAUACCCGAGUAGUCCCUGUCUCUUAUAA